Molecule: ribosomal RNA, 2391 nt
Filed under: Triticum aestivum (bread wheat)
Lineage: Eukaryota; Viridiplantae; Streptophyta; Magnoliopsida; Poales; Poaceae
Description: partial small subunit ribosomal RNA
Source: RNAcentral
AUGUCUCCCAUUUUUUCCCGCUCACCUCUAACCCUGCUCGCUCUCCUCCUCGCCCUCCCACCCCUCGCUGCCUCCUCCUCCUCCUUCCCGCUUCCCACCAUCGCCAUCGCCGCCGCCAGCACCAACACCGCCUCCCCACACCACCUCGCCUGCGGCCUCGUGUCCAACGGCACAGGCUACCAGCUCUCCUGCGCCAGCGUCACCAACCGCUCCGCUAGCCCCCGCAAGUACGGGUAUGGCGGCGGCAGUACCACGCCCUUCUCCGCCCUCGUCGCCGGUGAUGGGUACCUCUGCUCCGUCGACCCGAUCUCCUCGCCGCCCGUGUCCAUGCGCUGGUGGGACUUGAACGACGGCGAGGAACCGUCCAAGAGGGUGUACAGGGGCGAGGCGCUGUCUGCGGUGGCCGGCGGCGGGGAGUACGUGUGCGGACUAGUGGAGAAGAGGAUAAAGUGCUGGAGGUGGGAAUGGGGGGCCGUGCCGGAAGAGGUGGGGUUCUCGGCGCUGGCGGUGGGCGGCGGGUUCGUCUGCGGGCUGGUGGCCGGGACAGGGGAGCUGAAGUGCUAUGGCAAUGGGGACGCGGUGGGGCGGGAGCCGAGGGGCAGGUACAUGUUGCUCGCCGCCGGUGAGAGGCACGCCUGCGCGGUGGACCACAGAGGCAUGCUGGGGUGCUGGGGAGAGGCGGCCGCUGUUGCGGCCGCGGCGCCGCCGAAGCUGAUUCGCGCUGUGUCCACGGUGGCGGUGGGCGACGCUCUCACGUGCGUGCUGUGGGGGAACUGGACGGUCUCCUGCUGGCCGGAGGAGGAUGCGGCUGUGCCGCCGGAGAUAUCGCAGGAGCAGUUCGUCGCUCUGGAAGCGAGGGGGAAGGUGGUGUGCGGGGUGCUCAUGUCCGACUACUCGCUGGUGUGCUGGGGCGGAGAUGUUGCCGGCGGGGUGAGGAAGGUGUUCGACAAGGUCCUGCCGGGGCCGUGCGCGCCGGCAAGGUCGUGCCCGUGCGGCGUCUGGUCAGGCUCCGCGAUGCUCUGUGACAGCGGUGGCGCGGCCAUCUGCUACCCCUGCGGCUACACUCCUCCCAUGAAUGCGCAGGCGCCUACGUCCAACCCGCGGGCGUCGACCUCUCACACGAGGAAGAAGCGGCGGCCGAGCGAUCUUGUGAUCGCAAUGAUAAGCUUUGGAGCUGGUUCAGGACUCGUGGUCCUCGUCGGCGCGCUCUUGGUCGCUUACUGCCUGCGCCGGCGCAGCCGCAGCCGCAGCAGCUGCUCCCAUGACUCCGGGCGCAUCCACGCCGAGCCGAUGACAACUCCGGUGCCGCGCGUGCCGCGGCGGCUCAGCAUGCUGCUCUCCAAGGGCCCGAACACGACGGUGGAGCAGUUCCCCCUGGCAGCGCUCCGGGCCGCCACGGACGUCUUCUCGCCGUCCCACCGCAUCGGCUCCGGCAGCUUCGGCGCCGUCUACCGCGCGUCCCUCCCCGACGGCCGCGAGGUCGCCAUCAAGCGCGCGGAGCGGCGUGACUCGGGCGCCUCAUCCUCCGCCGCCGCUGCGGCGGCGCGUCGCGUCAACCACGAGUCGGCCUUCGUCUCAGAGCUCUCGCUGCUCUCCCGCCUGAACCACAAGAACCUUGUCCGGCUGCUGGGAUUCUGCGCCGACGGCGGCGAGCACAUCCUGGUGUACGAGUUCAUGCACAACGGCACCCUCCACGACCACCUCCACAAGCGCCCCGCCCCGCUCUCGCCGCCGCUCGCCUCCUGGCCGUCCCGCCUCCGCCUCGCCCUCGGCGCGGCGCGCGGCAUCGAGUACCUGCACACCUACGCCGUGCCGCCCAUCAUCCACCGCGACAUCAAGUCGUCCAACAUCCUCCUCGACGCCUCCUGGUCCGCCAAGGUGUCCGACUUCGGCCUCUCGCUGCUCAAGAACCUGGGCACCGGAGACAAUGCCGGCGGCGAGGAGCCGUGCGUGACGGCCGGGACGGUGGGGUACAUGGACCCGGAGUACUACCGGCUGCAGCACCUGACGGACAAGAGCGACGUGUACAGCUUCGGGGUGCUGCUGCUGGAGCUGCUGUCCGGGUGCAAGGUGAUACAGAGGUACGAGGGGAGCGGCACGCCGAGGAACGUGGUGGACAUGGCCGUGCCGUACAUCGAGUCGGACCGCGUGCACCGGGUGCUCGACAUCCGACUUCCGCUGCCGACGCCGGGGGAGAUGGAGGCCGUCGCCUACGUCGGGUACCUGGCCGCGGACUGCGUCCGGCUGCCCGGGCGCGAGCGGCCCUCCAUGAGCGAGGUGGUCGGCGUGCUCGAGCGGGCCGUUGCGGCAUGCGAGGAGCACGAGGAUAGCCCGGACGGCGGCGAGGCGGCCCUGUCGCGGUCGUGCACCGAUGGGUCCACCACCAUGUGA